UCGGCGAGGCUCAAAGAAAAAGAAGUCCGCGGCCGGAGGGAGGCACGUGCGGCGGCCAGUAAAAAUGUCUGUUCGCGGGUGAAUCUGAGCGAGGGAACGAGGUGAACGCCGUUUCGCCGGAACCGCUGGGAAACACGGUGUGUCCCGGAUUACCUGGCCAAGUAGCACGUGCACUCACGAGCGAGCGAGCGCCGUGGAGGCAAUAACCGACGAGAGGAGGACACACAGAACACGUCGUCGUCGUCGUCGUCGUCGUCGUUUGCUGCUAACCUGGCGACGAUUCCGCCUCGUUGCCCGAUAACGAUACCCGACCGGGCCUCCUCGGCUCGAUAAAACGCCGUUUCCGACAUUCACAGAAGCCGCACUCGACCCUCGACCGGCAUCCACACGCGGCGUUCCGUCGGCCUUAUUUAGGAGAUCCACCGCGGCGUUGAUAAUCGAGCACAUUUCAGACGGACGCCUCGGAUAUCGUAAUACGCUGCUGCUUCUCUCUUGUAUCUGCAGAAUUUAAUCUCGAAACGUGAUCGCCGUUGAAUCUGUCAGCGCUUACGAUGAGUUAGUAUUGUGCGCUAUGAAAGGUUUCAAGGCUCGAUUCGGACGAGAUGUUGACGAGCGGAGAAAGACAGAUUUGUUUGCGAUUUGUUCCUCGGGAAUAAAGACAACUGCUUCGAUCUUGCCAUUGAAGGCUGAUCCUGCGAGCAUUUUCAGUUUAAAUGACAACUGCGAUUGUUGGCGAGAUAGAGAAAUUUUUGUUGGUAAUAUUAGGCUACGAAAAAGGUUUCACAUUGUUGGUCCAAUUAAGAAGCAUUCAAAGGAAGACGAUGUUUCUGCAAGCAUUCGAUUAUUUUUAAAAAUCUACCUGGUACUCUAACGGAAUGUCUGAAUAUAAACAAAAAUAUUGUUCACGUUCUUACAUUUUUUAAACCCGAGAGAUUUAUAUAAUAAAAUAUAAAUAUAAUAUAAAAUAUAAAAACCGAGCGGCGAAGAUAUCUGAAGAAUUGAACAAAAUUGCUACAUCAUUUCCAACUUCAUCGAGCUAAUUAAAAGAAGAAAUAGAUUUUUAUUUAACCACUGUUUCUUAGAAUUGACGUAGCAUAUUCUUAUUAUGCAUAAAUAUCCGCAGUAUACUGAUGAUCUAGCUGUUGAUGCGAUCUUGAUAAAUAAAUAACAUAAAGGAAAAACAAUUAUUUUUUAAAGAAAUCGUGGCACGAAGUUGUACAAGUUAAGCUGCUCAUAAUACAACAACGUCCUAAUGUUGUUAGACGGUUUUACUUAUAAUUGUGCUGUCGGUAACAAAGUUCGAACGAAAAUCGCCGGGAACUAGGUUCGCGUGACGAGUUGACGGAUCGUGAUCGGUUUCACUUAACUUCAAGAUUUAUGUUCGAUACGAUGUUACAAACUUAGCCAAUACAUACAUACUAUGAUCAGUAGGUAGCAACGUUUUGACAGAACGAUAGUGACUUAAAAGAAAGUUUGUUAUGACAUGCACCAGUUCUGUCUCCGUGUUCCCAAUUCGGAGCCACGACAGCUCUAUAAACGGUGCCGUUUAUGCUUUGAAAUCGCGCGAUGUCUGCCGGUAGUCACGCGAUGCUCGAGGAAGGUUUCUUCUUAGCCUCGCGGAAGACAUGAAUAUGCGAUCGAAUAAGAGCUUCGCGAAAUUCUCUUACGAUAAUUAGAUAUGCGACUUUUAGAAAAAUGCACGAUAACGGGGAAACAGAA
Long non-coding RNA from Megalopta genalis, 1719 nucleotides. RefSeq lists it as uncharacterized. Lineage: Eukaryota; Metazoa; Arthropoda; Insecta; Hymenoptera; Halictidae. The record is from RefSeq and is a predicted model, not a curated record.